Molecule: small RNA, 3117 nt
Filed under: Pan troglodytes (chimpanzee)
Lineage: Eukaryota; Metazoa; Chordata; Mammalia; Primates; Hominidae
Description: processed transcript
Source: RNAcentral
AGAUUGGGGGUUACAUUUCAACAUGAGAUGAGGGUGGGGACAAACAUCCACACUCUUAUCAGCACCAUCCUCUCAGGCUGGCUGGGAGGAUUAAAUAUGCUGCUGCUCUGCAAAGCGUGCACAGUCAGCUCUCAGUGAUCCUGCCUGUCAUUGUGCGGCCGCGGUGGGCUCUGUUGCCUGAAGCACCUGAGUCAGGAUGGGCAGAUUCUUCACAGGCAGGCCCGGGUGCCUGUCCCGUGGACUGUGGGACCCUGCCGACCUUAAUAAAUCACAACCAGGUGCCAGAGCGCUGGCUUUCUUUCAUGCGACCUCGGAUUUUGUGCCCCAGGUGUGUGGAUGGAGGCCAUGAUGCAUGGAGGCUAGGAGGAAAACCAGACAGGGUUUACCAGCCCCCUGGUUGGCCUGGCUAUUUUUUCUGAAUAAUAUUCAUCAGCAGUUGAUAUAAAAUGAGGGCAUCCAGCAGAAUCAUGUUAGCCACUUCAUUUAGCCCGACACCCCAGGGGCUGAACUCCCACUGCAGUCCAUCCUUUGAUUGUGGAUGCCACAGAUAAAGCAGAAACGGGUACGUGCCCAUCUGUGGAGAAUUGACGGGGCUGGGGGAGCCACCCUGUGGGCUUUUCAUUCUUAGAAGAGCUUUAACAAAGUGUGUUUCUGGAUGACUUUCUUGCCACCGGCACCAGUGAGCAGGCCCCGCAGCUGGAGUUCGAGCAGCUGCCCUUCAGCCACCCACUGUUCAUCAUGUUCUCAUCGGGCACCACGGGCGCACCCAAGUGCAUGGUGCAUUCCGCUGGGGGCACCCUCAUCCAGCAUCUGAAGGAACACCUGCUGCACGGCAACAUGACCAGCAGUGACAUCCUCCUGUGCUACACCACGGUCGGCUGGAUGAUGUGGAACUGGAUGGUGUCCCUUCUGGCCACAGGAGCGGCCAUGGUCUUGUACGAUGGCUCCCCCCUGGUGCCCACGCCCAAUGUGCUCUGGGACCUGGUUGACAGGAUAGGCAUCACUGUCCUGGUAACUGGGGCCAAGUGGCUGUCAGUGCUGGAAGAGAAGGCCAUGAAGCCGGGUGAGUGUGCCUCUUCAGUACUCAUUCCCUGUACUGCCAAUCAAGGAAAUUAAAUCCAUCCUAUUACCUGCUUGUGAGUGAGGCUUCAGGCACUGGGUUUAGUUUUAAUCUUUUGGUGACUCUGCACCCCAGUGGAAACCCACAGUCUCCAGAUGCUCCACACGAUCCUGUCCACUGGCUCCCCACUGAAAGCCCAGAGCUACGAGUAUGUCUACAGGUGCAUCAAGAGCAGCAUCCUCCUGGGCUCCAUCUCAGGAGGCACCGACAUCAUCUCCUGCUUCAUGGGCCACAAUUUUUCUCUUCCUGUGUAUAAAGGGGAGAUUCAGGCCCGGAACCUGGGCAUGGCCGUGGAAGCGUGGAACGAGGAAGGAAAGGCGGUCUGGGGAGAGAGCGGCGAGCUGGUGUGUACUAAGCCGAUCCCUUGCCAGCCCACACACUUCUGGAACGAUGAGAACGGCAACAAGUACAGGAAGGCGUAUUUCUCCAAAUUCCCAGGUAUCUGGGCUCAUGGCGACUACUGCAGAAUCAACCCCAAGACCGGGGGCAUCAUCAUGCUUGGCCGGAGUGACGGCACCCUCAACCCCAACGGGGUGCGGUUCGGCAGCUCGGAAAUCUAUAACAUUGUGGAAUCCUUCGAGGAGGUGGAGGACAGCCUGUGUGUCCCCCAGUAUAACAAGUACAGGGAGGAGAGGGUGAUCCUCUUCCUGAAGAUGGCCUCCGGGCACGCCUUCCAGCCUGACUUGGUUAAGAGGAUCCGUGACGCCAUCCGCAUGGGCUUGUCUGCGCGACACGUGCCCAGCCUCAUCCUGGAAACCAAGGGCAUCCCGUAUACGCUCAACGGCAAGAAAGUGGAAGUUGCCGUCAAACAGAUCAUCGCUGGAAAAGCCGUGGAGCAAGGAGGUGCUUUCUCGAACCCCGAGACCCUGGAUCUGUACCGGGACAUCCCUGAGCUGCAGGGCUUCUGAGUCAGACUGGCUGGCGUGUCACUCAGCCGCACCCGUGUGCACUGUAACUUUUGUGUGCUCAAGAAAUUAUACAGAAACCUACAGCUGUUGUAAAAGGAUGCUGGCACCAAGUGUUCUGUAGGCUUGGGGAGGGAUCGUUUCUCUGUUUUGUUAAAUCUGGUGGGUACCUGGAUCUUCCACACGAGUGGGAUUCUGGCCUUCAGAGACCAGGAGGGAGUGUCUGGGCCGCACAUGUGGCACUGUGGUGAGAGUGUGUGUCUUUGCACACACAGUGCAGCGGGAACGGUGGGGCUGGCUGGUGCUGAAGACAGACACACUCCUGAGCCAAGGUCUUGUCUUCAACCUCCCCGUCCCGUUGUCCCAUUUUGCUCUGUGAAGGUGCAAAUCCCUUUCUUCCCUUCCCAUCUCAGGCUCUCCUGUUUUCCCUCAGGGUCCAGUAUGCCUUUGAGCUUUAGCUGUUACAAAGGAACCCCCGUGACUUGACACAGCUUUCACAGCUGGCUGCUAGGACCGGCGGGCUGGGUGUUCACGUGUGUCUGUGUCAUGGAUGCAAUGCAGGCCCUGGAGGACCGUGCGUCACCCGUCAACCAGAGCGUGCCUCCGGGCCAGCUUCCCUCCAAGGAAUGAGUGGAUUUCAUACAGGAUCUCUUUAUUGCACAGACUUUGAAUGGCUUUACAUGUUUCUAAUGUGAAUUAGGCAUGUGAAGCAGUGGGUGUCCACCCGUGUCCCUCAUGGGUGAGCCCUCCAGCUGUAAGCCCAGGCAGUGUGGUCACCGAGUGAGGACCCUCCUCACCAGGAACCGCAUCCCUGUGCUGCCUCCACCUGAGAGUUGCUAGGGGGUUCUUGUCGAGAUCAUGUCAUCAGCACCCCUAAGUCAAGUCACGGGUUUCCAUAGCCAGGCAGUUGGUAUGUACCAUUUAGUUCAGCGUAUGAACUUGUAUCUCUAAUCUGAUGUUCAUUUUUAUAUUUUUUGAAACUGAGCACAAUGAAAUCCUUUCUUGAAUCAUUUUCCUUUUGGAUUAUAAAAAUACGGGGGAAAGUGCCAUGAUGAAUUUUAUGCAAUAAAUGUAUAUAUGUGUGCACAUGCA